RNAcentral lists this long non-coding RNA (354 nucleotides) under Salvia miltiorrhiza (redroot sage). RNAcentral describes it as "long non-coding RNA (SMIL_LNC002159)". The record is from RNAcentral. Lineage: Eukaryota; Viridiplantae; Streptophyta; Magnoliopsida; Lamiales; Lamiaceae.
GGACUACAUAAAUUGGUUUAAAUGUGAAAUAAUAUUGGAGAUGUAAAUGCUCACAAAUAGGCCGCAUCCUCUUACUGUGAAGUGAAAACCAUUCCCUCAUAUCCUUCCCCCUGAGAAAUUAAAAUCAAGGUUGGAUAGAGCCUUCACAAAUGGAAUAUAGCUCAUCUAACAUCCCAAGAUGACCUGAGUAUGUGUACAGUGAUCUUCAAAUCUAACGUUGAGAGAGGUUCAUGAUAAAGGUACUGUGAUCAUGAAAGUAGCUUUUCAUUGUCGCUCCAACGUGAAUCUAACUCGAAAACCAACCGAGCCGACUACAAAGAAAUCGAAGAAGAUGAUUACUUAGAGCUGGAAAAA